RNAcentral lists this transfer RNA (72 nucleotides) under Mus musculus (house mouse). Its description in RNAcentral is "tRNA-Ala". The record is from RNAcentral. Lineage: Eukaryota; Metazoa; Chordata; Mammalia; Rodentia; Muridae.
UGGGGCUCUGGCUUAGUGGUAGAGUGCUUGCCUAGCAUGCACAAGGCCCUAGGUUCAAUUGCCAGGCUGCAA